This 819-nucleotide ribosomal RNA is filed under the name uncultured Bacillota bacterium. Its description in RNAcentral is "bacterial SSU rRNA". It matches the Rfam family "Bacterial small subunit ribosomal RNA", at positions 77 to 914 of the family's 1533-position model. The record is from RNAcentral. Lineage: Bacteria; Bacillati; Bacillota.
CAGCAAUGUUGGUGAAAGUGGCAAACGGGUGAGUAACACGUAGAUGACCUGCCUCGGAGUGGGGGAUAACCACGGGAAACUGUGGCUAAUACCGCAUGGUUUGUCUGGUCUGGGAAGGCGAGACAAUAAAGCUUUAGUGCUCUGAGAGGGGUCUGCGUCCGAUUAGCUAGUUGGAGAGGUAACGGCUCACCAAGGCGAUGAUCGGUAGCUGGUCUGAGAGGACGAUCAGCCACACGGGAACUGCGACACGGUCCCGACUCCUACGGGGGGCAGCAGUGAGGAAUAUUGGGCAAUGGGCGCAAGCCUGACCCAGCAACGCCGCGUGAAGGACGAAGGCCUUCGGGUUGUAAACUUCUUUUUGGGGGGAAAAGAGAGGAUGGUACCCCCAGAAUAAGUCACGGCUAACUACGUGCCAGCAGCCGCGGUAAUACGUAGGUGACGAGCGUUAUCCGGAAUUACUGGGCGUAAAGCGCACGCAAGCGGUCUAACAAGUCUGGCGUGAAAUCCUCUGGCUUAACCAGGGGCGGUCGCUGGAGACUGUUAAACUUGAGGCGAUGAGAGGGGUGCAGAAUUCCCGGUGUAGUGGUGGAAUGCGUAGAUAUCGGGGGGAAUACCAGUGGCGAAAGCGGCACCCUGGCGUCGUACUGACGCACAUGUGCGAAAGCGUGGGGAGCGAACGGGAUUAGAUACCCCGGUAGUCCACGCGGUAAACGAUGAACACUAGGUGUGGGUGGAGUCAAUCUGUCCGUGCCAAAGCCAACGCGUUAAGUGUUCCGCCUGGGAAGUACGGCCGCAAGGCUAAAACUCAAAGGAAUUGAC